This 600-nucleotide ribosomal RNA is filed under the name Achromobacter spanius. RNAcentral's name for it is "bacterial SSU rRNA". It matches the Rfam family "Bacterial small subunit ribosomal RNA", at positions 40 to 634 of the family's 1533-position model. The record is from RNAcentral. Lineage: Bacteria; Pseudomonadati; Pseudomonadota; Betaproteobacteria; Burkholderiales; Alcaligenaceae.
CUCGAUAGCGUAACACAUGCAAGUCGAACGGCAGCACGGACUUCGGUCUGGUGGCGAGUGGCGAACGGGUGAGUAAUGUAUCGGAACGUGCCUAGUAGCGGGGGAUAACUACGCGAAAGCGUAGCUAAUACCGCAUACGCCCUACGGGGGAAAGCAGGGGAUCGCAAGACCUUGCACUAUUAGAGCGGCCGAUAUCGGAUUAGCUAGUUGGUGGGGUAACGGCUCACCAAGGCGACGAUCCGUAGCUGGUUUGAGAGGACGACCAGCCACACUGGGACUGAGACACGGCCCAGACUCCUACGGGAGGCAGCAGUGGGGAAUUUUGGACAAUGGGGGAAACCCUGAUCCAGCCAUCCCGCGUGUGCGAUGAAGGCCUUCGGGUUGUAAAGCACUUUUGGCAGGAAAGAAACGUCAUGGGCUAAUACCCCGUGAAACUGACGGUACCUGCAGAAUAAGCACCGGCUAACUACGUGCCAGCAGCCGCGGUAAUACGUAGGGUGCAAGCGUUAAUCGGAAUUACUGGGCGUAAAGCGUGCGCAGGCGGUUCGGAAAGAAAGAUGUGAAAUCCCAGAGCUUAACUUUGGAACUGCAUUUUUAACU